This 361-nucleotide unclassified non-coding RNA is filed under the name fungal sp. RNAcentral's name for it is "partial internal transcribed spacer region". The stretch from base 1 to 46 matches the Rfam family "Eukaryotic small subunit ribosomal RNA", at positions 1786 to 1831 of the family's 1831-position model. Lineage: Eukaryota; Fungi. The record is from RNAcentral.
AAGUCGUAACAAGGUUUCCGUAGGUGAACCUGCGGAAGGAUCAUUUCUGAUUACUUUAGACUGCCCCCUUUUGGCUCUUUCUCUUUACGGGGGAAGAAAAAAAGGGGGGUUGUUCUAAAUUAUCGUGAUUGUGUGGUUAUAAACAAAAAAAAAGAGAAAUGAGACUUACUUUGGAUUAUGAGAUUUGAGCAAUCUUAUCUUUGUGAUCCAAGUUUCUCUCUUUCUUUUUUUCUUUAUUAAACUAAAAUAAAACGAUGAUUAUUUUAUUGUCAAUCUAAGAGUGGUUGUAGUCUUUUUAAGGCUACUUAAGCUCGACAAAAUUAACAAUAUACAACUAUCAACGGUGGAUCUCUUGGCUCGU